AUGUUUACCUGGCAGCGGAGAAACAAUGGUCAUGGAGGUAGUGCUCCCUGGGCGAGGCUACCCCAUUGCACUCCGGGUGUGCCGAUGCCCGCAAUGUCCCCAAAUGCGGGAUGCCCGACUAUAAAAUUUGUGGUAAUGGGGGACUGCGUUCGCGCUCCCCCCUG
Carcharodon carcharias (great white shark) is the source of this 164-nucleotide small nuclear RNA. RefSeq annotates it as U1 spliceosomal RNA. The record is from RefSeq and is a predicted model, not a curated record. The transcript has a single exon. Lineage: Eukaryota; Metazoa; Chordata; Chondrichthyes; Lamniformes; Lamnidae.